RNAcentral lists this ribosomal RNA (493 nucleotides) under uncultured bacterium. Its description in RNAcentral is "partial 16S ribosomal RNA". It matches the Rfam family "Bacterial small subunit ribosomal RNA", at positions 29 to 523 of the family's 1533-position model. The record is from RNAcentral.
AUUGAACGCUGGCGGCAUGCUUUACACAUGCAAGUCGAACGGUAACAGGUUAAGCUGACGAGUGGCGAACGGGUGAGUAAUGCAUCGGAACGUGCCCGGUCGUGGGGGAUAACGCAGCGAAAGCUGCGCUAAUACCGCAUACGAUCUAAGGAUGAAAGCGGGGGACCGUAAGGCCUCGCGCGAUCGGAGCGGCCGAUGUCAGAUUAGGUAGUUGGUGGGGUAAAGGCUCACCAAGCCAACGAUCUGUAGCUGGUCUGAGAGGACGACCAGCCACACUGGGACUGAGACACGGCCCAGACUCCUACGGGAGGCAGCAGUGGGGAAUUGUGGACAAUGGGCGAAAGCCUGAUCCAGCAAUGCCGCGUGCAGGAAGAAGGCCUUCGGGUUGUAAACUGCUUUUGUACGGAGCGAAAAGGUCUCCUCUAAUACAGGGGGCUCAUGACGGUACCGUAAGAAUAAGCGCCGGCUAACUACGUGCCAGCCGCCGCCGUAA